This 660-nucleotide ribosomal RNA is filed under the name uncultured bacterium. Its description in RNAcentral is "bacterial SSU rRNA". It matches the Rfam family "Bacterial small subunit ribosomal RNA", at positions 1 to 663 of the family's 1533-position model. The record is from RNAcentral.
GGCUUAGAGUUUGAUCAUGGCUCAGGAUGAACGCUGGCGGCGUGCCUAACACAUGCAAGUCGAGCGAAGCGAUUCGGAUGAAGUUUUCGGAUGGAUUUUGGAUUGACUGAGCGGCGGACGGGUGAGUAACGCGUGGGUAACCUGCCUCAUACAGGGGGAUAACAGUUAGAAAUGACUGCUAAUACCGCAUAAGCGCACAGUACCGCAUGGUACGGUGUGAAAAACUCCGGUGGUAUGAGAUGGACCCGCGUCUGAUUAGGUAGUUGGUGGGGUAACGGCCUACCAAGCCGACGAUCAGUAGCCGACCUGAGAGGGUGACCGGCCACAUUGGGACUGAGACACGGCCCAAACUCCUACGGGAGGCAGCAGUGGGGAAUAUUGCACAAUGGGGGAAACCCUGAUGCAGCGACGCCGCGUGAGAGAAGAAGUAUUUCGGUAUGUAAAGCUCUAUCAGCAGGGAAGAAAAUGACGGUACCUGACUAAGAAGCCCCGGCUAACUACGUGCCAGCAGCCGCGGUAAUACGUAGGGGGCAAGCGUUAUCCGGAUUUACUGGGUGUAAAGGGAGCGUAGACGGCGAAGCAAGUCUGAAGUGAAAACCCAGGGCUCAACCCUGGGACUGCUUUGGAAACUGUUUUGCUAGAGUGCUGGAGAGGUAAGUG